RNAcentral lists this ribosomal RNA (492 nucleotides) under uncultured bacterium. RNAcentral's name for it is "partial 16S ribosomal RNA". It matches the Rfam family "Bacterial small subunit ribosomal RNA", at positions 30 to 507 of the family's 1533-position model. The record is from RNAcentral.
AUUGAACGCUGGCGGCAGGCCUAACACAUGCAAGUCGAGCGGCAGCGGGAAAGUAGCUUGCUACUUUUGCCGGCGAGCGGCGGACGGGUGAGUAAUGCCUGGGAAAUUGCCCAGUCGAGGGGGAUAACAGUUGGAAACGACUGCUAAUACCGCAUACGCCCUACGGGGGAAAGCAGGGGACCUUCGGGCCUUGCGCGAUUGGAUAUGCCCAGGUGGGAUUAGCUAGUUGGUGUGGUAAUGGCUCACCAAGGCGACGAUCCCUAGCUGGUCUGAGAGGAUGAUCAGCCACACUGGAACUGAGACACGGUCCAGACUCCUACGGGAGGCAGCAGUGGGGAAUAUUGCACAAUGGGGGAAACCCUGAUGCAGCCAUGCCGCGUGUGUGAAGAAGGCCUUCGGGUUGUAAAGCACUUUCAGCGAGGAGGAAAGGUCAGUAGCUAAUAUCUGCUGGCUGUGACGUUACUCGCAGAAGAAGCACCGGCUAACUCCGUG